Molecule: ribosomal RNA, 432 nt
Filed under: uncultured bacterium
Lineage: Bacteria
Description: partial 16S ribosomal RNA
Rfam family: Bacterial small subunit ribosomal RNA
Source: RNAcentral
CCUACGGGUGGCAGCAGUUGGGAAUCUUGCACAAUGGGGGGAACCCUGAUGCAGCGACGCCGCGUGGAGGAUGAAGGGUCUAGGCUCGUAAACUCCUUUUAUCGGGAAAACGGUACCCGAUGAAUAAGCACCGGCUAACUACGUGCCAGCAGCCGCGGUAAGACGUAGGGUGCAAGCGUUGUCCGGAUUUACUGGGCGUAAAGAGCGCGUAGGCGGUCUGUUAAGUGUAGAGUGAAAGCUCCGGGCUCAACCCGGAAAUUGCUCUGCAUACUGGCAGACUUGAGGGAUGCAGAGGUUUGUGGAAUUCCUGGUGUAACGGUGAAAUGUGUUGAUAUCAGGAGGAACACCCAUGGCGAAGGCAGCAAACUGGGCAUUUCUGACGCUGAGGCGCGAAAGCGUGGGUAGCAAACAGGAUUAGAUACCCUUGUAGUC